Pelobates cultripes (western spadefoot toad) is the source of this 298-nucleotide non-coding RNA. The record is from the annotation of a GenBank genome assembly. Lineage: Eukaryota; Metazoa; Chordata; Amphibia; Anura; Pelobatidae.
CAGUAUACAGGAUAUUCUCUUUUACUUGCUCCAUGGCUCAUAAAUGCAACAGCAAAAUAGAACUAGCCAAAGCCAUAUAUUUCAGUGGUUGUCUCACUUUCCAUGUAUAUUUCACACCUAACCCAUAGGUACGCCUGAGUGUCACCAUCUAUCUAUGUAUAACCUCUCACGCACAGGUUAGAUUAGAAUCCUGAGUUAUGCUUGUUUGUAUCUUGUUACGUAAACCUGCAGACUACGCUAUAUAGCAUUUUACCUACCUAGCCUGCGACCUAUUACCUCUACUAAAUAUAAAACUGUG